This 236-nucleotide long non-coding RNA is filed under the name Elaeis guineensis (African oil palm). RNAcentral's name for it is "long non-coding RNA (EGUI_LNC058774)". The record is from RNAcentral. Lineage: Eukaryota; Viridiplantae; Streptophyta; Magnoliopsida; Arecales; Arecaceae.
UAAACUCUCUACGCACAAAGAAGCCCACGCCCCUCCCUUCUCACGCCUUGAGUGGAUAAGGAUAAGUUGGUUGGCAUUUGAAUUCAAAUUUGAUUUGAAUUCAAGUGAGCAACCACCUAGCUUUAUCUUCUCACACGGUGAAGAUGCGAUCUUGCACUGUUUUAAAAGAAAAGAGAAGGUGGGGCAUGCGCACAACUAAUCUGAGAGAGAAGGUUGCAUGAGAAGGCCUUGUGCGU